This 497-nucleotide ribosomal RNA is filed under the name uncultured bacterium. Its description in RNAcentral is "partial 16S ribosomal RNA". It matches the Rfam family "Bacterial small subunit ribosomal RNA", at positions 28 to 507 of the family's 1533-position model. The record is from RNAcentral.
GAUGAACGCUGGCGGCGUGCCUAAUACAUGCAAGUCGAGCGAACAGACGAGGAGCUUGCUCCUCUGACGUUAGCGGCGGACGGGUGAGUAACACGUGGAUAACCUACCUAUAAGACUGGGAUAACUUCGGGAAACCGGAGCUAAUACCGGAUAAUAUAUUGAACCGCAUGGUUCAAUAGUGAAAGACGGUUUUGCUGUCACUUAUGGAUGGAUCCGCGCCGCAUUAGCUAGUUGGUAAGGUAACGGCUUACCAAGGCAACGAUGCGUAGCCGACCUGAGAGGGUGAUCGGCCACACUGGAACUGAGGCACGGUCCAGACUCCUACGGGAGGCAGCAGUAGGGAAUCUUCCGCAAUGGGCGAAAGCCUGACGGAGCAACGCCGCGUGAGUGAUGAAGGUCUUCGGAUCGUAAAACUCUGUUAUUAGGGAAGAACAAAUGUGUAAGUAACUAUGCACGUCUUGACGGUACCUAACCAGAAAGCCACGGCUAACUACGUG